RNAcentral lists this ribosomal RNA (429 nucleotides) under Actinomycetes bacterium. Its description in RNAcentral is "Actinobacteria bacterium partial 16S ribosomal RNA". It matches the Rfam family "Bacterial small subunit ribosomal RNA", at positions 355 to 776 of the family's 1533-position model. The record is from RNAcentral. Lineage: Bacteria; Bacillati; Actinomycetota; Actinomycetes.
UAGGGAAUCUUCCGCAAUGGGCGAAAGCCUGACGGAGCAACGCCGCGUGAGUGAUGAAGGUCUUCGGAUCGUAAAACUCUGUUAUUAGGGAAGAACAAAUGUGUAAGUAACUAAGCACGUCUUGACGGUACCUAAUCAGAAAGCCACGGCUAACUACGUGCCAGCAGCCGCGGUAAUACGUAGGUGGCAAGCGUUAUCCGGAAUUAUUGGGCGUAAAGCGCGCGUAGGCGGUUUUUUAAGUCUGAUGUGAAAGCCCACGGCUCAACCGUGGAAGGUCAUUGGAAACUGGAAAACUUGAGUGCAGAAGAGGAAAGUGGAAUUCCAUGUGUAGCGGUGAAAUGCGCAGAGAUAUGGAGGAACACCAGUGGCGAAGGCGACUUUCUGGUCUGUAACUGACGCUGAUGUGCGAAAGCGUGGGGAUCAAACAGG